RNAcentral lists this non-coding RNA (23 nucleotides) under Arabidopsis thaliana (thale cress). Lineage: Eukaryota; Viridiplantae; Streptophyta; Magnoliopsida; Brassicales; Brassicaceae. The record is from RNAcentral.
GGGUCAUAUGGUACAGUCUCCUA